Peromyscus leucopus (white-footed mouse) is the source of this 922-nucleotide long non-coding RNA. RefSeq lists it as uncharacterized. The record is from RefSeq and is a predicted model, not a curated record. Lineage: Eukaryota; Metazoa; Chordata; Mammalia; Rodentia; Cricetidae. The transcript has 2 exons.
UAUGAAGAACUAUAGCAUAUAUAAAUUUAUGAUAUUAUUACCUUGUGUAAAUAAAAUUUCUGUAGGAGAUAAGCUUUCAGAUCCACACCUGGAAAGAACUAAAUGAUAUCCAAUCAAUUGGGGAGAGAAUUCUGGCUUUGGAAGAAAGGGGUGCUGAAGGGCUUCCCUUGUAUCCCAGCAGAGGCUCCUGCAAAGGUCAGCUUCACUUCUAGUGUAUUAUGAGGAGAGCUCAUUAGCAGGGAAGCAAUGUCAGUUCCCAUGACAUCUGCAGGUCUUCCCUAGACCUUCCAUUGUAUCCUGGGGAGCCCUGGCAUCCUCUGUGAUGUCACUAUGUUGUGGCCACACCCACUGUCCUUGGGAAGUUUAUUCAGUGCCUUUACCAUUUACUGAUGAACAUGAUGGCAUACUGAAGUCUAAUUCAGAAAGAGAAUGGAGAGCGUAGAGAGACCAGAGAGUGACAGAAGAAAGCUGACUUUCAGCCUCAGUGUAAAACAUCAAGGAAGAAAUGGUCGAGAGAAUGGUGCAAUGAGUUCUGUGCAGGAAAAUGGAAGUUUCCUGGAAGAAGUGGUCUUGAGCUGAAUCUUCCAGUAAUGGGGAACAGAAAGCUGGAGUCUCUGGGAACCAACAGAACUUCCCUGCAAGUCAUAGCUCAUGAAAUUCAAGGAUUCUAGGAUAUUAAUUGUUUUGCCUCAGAGGACAGAAACUGGUAUGAUCAUGGAGAAUUUGUUUUUGAAUACAGGAGAAACAUCUUCACAGAUUCUGGAGGGUACACACCUGUGGAGUAGAUGCUAAGUAAAUUCUUAGACAGCUAUUUCAGCAAACCUCCUGAGAGAGCUCAUGCACCUCCACCUCCAUCAUCUAAACAGCCUGCCUCUGCUGGCCUAGAGUCAGAAUAGCUGUAAGUAAAUUGUAUGCCACUUUU